RNAcentral lists this small RNA (143 nucleotides) under Acinetobacter sp. RNAcentral describes it as "Manganese sequence". The stretch from base 1 to 128 matches the Rfam family "Manganese Mn2+ riboswitch aptamer (yybP-ykoY)". From Rfam's summary of the family: This RNA was originally discovered in E. coli during a large scale screen and was named SraF. The record is from RNAcentral. Lineage: Bacteria; Pseudomonadati; Pseudomonadota; Gammaproteobacteria; Moraxellales; Moraxellaceae.
CCUCACUUCAUUGGGGAGUAGCCGCUUUUUACGCAAUGUAAAAAGGUGAUGGUCAACAUAAUUGUUCAACAGAACAUGGUCAUCAUAGCAAAGAACCAAUUAAGCUUUUCCAAAAGCUUUUUUUUGUUGGCAAGACCUUUGAU